CUGGCACACCACGCAUAUCCAAUUAAGCAGAAGAAGGUGCCUGACUGCAUGAGUGUCAUCCCAUUGAAUCUUCUGGGAGGUCCUACAAGCUGGGAGCCUCGGGAAGAAGAGUGGUGGGGCCUCCUGGGAGCUGGGCAUGGGGCUCCCCAUCAGUUCCAGCUCUGACCUCUCUGGGCUGUUCAGGCAAAGGCAGCAGUUGCUAAUGAAGACACUGGAGGACAGCGUGGCUUAGUCAGCACAGGAAGGAAAUGACUUAGUGCAGCCGGGUGCUGGCAGGCGACCACAGCAGGGGCAGGCAGCCCAUAAGACCAGCACAGCCAGGAGGCCACACUCCCCCGCCCCACCCUGGGCUUGCCUUCUUUGCCCCUCUCCCUUCACCACCCUCCACAGCCAAUUUGCUUGUCAUCACCCACCUUUUUGUGUUUAACCCGUCAGCUCUUCCUACCUCAUUCACUAUUUUUUUUUGUUUGUUUUAAUUAAGGUCGAAUGCAUGUCACACAAAGUUAACCAUUUUAAGGUGAACAGUUUCAGGGGCAUUGACAAUGUCGUGCAGCCACCACCUCUGUCUCAUUCCAAAACAUUUUCAUCGCUGCAAAGUAAAACCUGGACCCACUGAGCAGUUCCUCCUCACUCCCCCAUCCCUACCCCUACCAAUCUACUUUCUGUGUCUAUGGAUUCACUGAUUCUAGAUACUUCAUAUAAACGGAGUCAUAAAAUA
RNAcentral lists this long non-coding RNA (718 nucleotides) under Homo sapiens (human). RNAcentral's name for it is "HSALNT0403824". Lineage: Eukaryota; Metazoa; Chordata; Mammalia; Primates; Hominidae. The record is from RNAcentral.